GAUUCACGGCUGUCUGGCUUCUCCCUGUCCUCCCCCAGAUAAGUUGAAGCCAGAUGAUAGAGCAUUAGACAGAGCCGGGAGGAGCAGCCGGAGGAGUGACGGGAAGCCAAGCAGAAACGGACACUAUCUGGUCCCAGCUCAGGCUUUGGCUUAAUCGCAACCACAUGAGCAGAAUCAGGGCUGGAAGCGUAGCUGUGAUGAGAAGAGUUUCCUUUGGGAUGGAAUGAGGAUAGAGCUGUUGCGGCCUGAGACAAGCAAACAACUUUCCUCUCUGAGCCAGUCACAGGAAGGAUGCAGCCAGGAAGACCAGUGAGGCUACCUUUCCACAGUACUGGGAACAUCUCCGCUGAAAACCCAUCAUGGUUCUGGGUCAAAAGCAGCACGGAAACAAGUGGAAUUGCCUGCAGACUCAUUCUGAAUAAAGGGUGGGUCCACAUGGAGAAGCCUGCAUCCAGAUGUGCUUGUGAUUGGGUAAGAAAUCUGCCUAAUUUGGAAAGAAUUAUUAGUAUGCCCGCUUGGCUGCAGACCUUAGCUGCUUUCUCCAAAAUAGAUUUUAACUUUAAUAAAACCA
Molecule: long non-coding RNA, 571 nt
Filed under: Equus asinus (donkey)
Lineage: Eukaryota; Metazoa; Chordata; Mammalia; Perissodactyla; Equidae
Description: lncRNA (ENSEASG00005027269.1)
Source: RNAcentral